CCUACGGGACGCAGCAGUCGAGAAUCAUUCACAAUGGGGGAAACCCUGAUGGUGCGACGCCGCGUGGGGGAAUGAAGGUCUUCGGAUUGUAAACCCCUGUCAUGUGGGAGCAAAUUAAAAAGAUAGUACCACAAGAGGAAGAGACGGCUAACUCUGUGCCAGCAACCGCGGUAAUACAGAGGUCUCAAGCGUUGUUCGGAAUCACUGGGCGUAAAGCGUGCGUAGGCUGUUUCGUACGUCGUGUGUGACAGGCGCGGGCUCAACUUUCGGACGGCACCUGAUACUGCGAGACUAGAGUAAUGGUG
Molecule: ribosomal RNA, 305 nt
Filed under: uncultured bacterium
Lineage: Bacteria
Description: bacterial SSU rRNA
Rfam family: Bacterial small subunit ribosomal RNA
Source: RNAcentral